UUCGCCCUUAGAGUUUGAUCCUGGCUCAGGACGAACGCUGGCGGCGUGCCUAACACAUGCAAGUCGAGCGGGGACAUUGGAGAGCUUGCUCAAAGAUGUUCCAGCGGCGGACGGGUGAGUAACGCGUGAGCAAUCUGUCCCGAACAGGGGGAUAACAACUGGAAACAGCUGCUAAUACCGCAUGAGACCACAAUGUCGCAUGGCAAAGGGGUCAAAGGAGAAAUCCGGUUCGGGGUGAGCUCGCGUCUGAUUAGCUAGUUGGUGAGGUAACGGCCCACCAAGGCGACGAUCAGUAGCCGACCUGAGAGGGUGAUCGGCCACAUUGGAACUGAGACACGGUCCAAACUCCUACGGGAGGCAGCAGUGGGGAAUAUUGGGCAAUGGGCGAAAGCCUGACCCAGCAACGCCGCGUGAGGGAAGAAGGUUUUCGGAUUGUAAACCUCUGUCCUUGGUGACGAAGGAAGUGACGGUAGCCAAGGAGGAAGCCCCGGCUAACUACGUGCCAGCAGCCGCGGUAAUACGUAGGGGGCGAGCGUUGUCCGGAAUUACUGGGUGUAAAGGGCGCGUAGGCGGCCUGAUAAGUUAGAGGUGAAAGUCCAGCUUUCAAGGUUGGAAUUGCCUUUAAUACUGUUGGGCUUGAGUGCGGAAGAGGUAAGUGGAAUUCCCAGUGUAGCGGUGAAAUGCGUAGAGAUUGGGAGGAACACCAGUGGCGAAGGCGACUUACUGGGCCGUAACUGACGCUGAGGCGCGAAAGCGUGGGGAGCGAACAGGAUUAGAUACCCUGGUAGUCCACGCGGUAAACGAUGAAUGCUAGGUGUAGGGGGUAUCGACCCCUCCUGUGCCGGAGUAAACACAAUAAGCAUUCCGCCUGGGGAGUAACGGCCGCAAGGUUGAAACUCAAAGGAAUUGACGGGGGCCCGCACAAGCAGCGGAGCAUGUGGUUUAAUUCGACGCAACGCGAAGAACCUUACCAGGUCUUGACAUCGCGGUAAACUUGUAGAAAUACAAGGUGGCUUCGGCCGACCAAAGACAGGUGGUGCAUGGUUGUCGUCAGCUCGUGUCGUGAGAUGUUGGGUUAAGUCCCGCAACGAGCGCAACCCUUAUCCUUAGUAGCCAGCGGUUCGGCCGGGCACUCUAGGGAGACUGCCGGGGUUAACCCGGAGGAAGGUGGGGAUGACGUCAAAUCAUCAUGCCCCUUAUGAGCAGGGCUUCACACGUGCUACAAUGAUGACUACAAAGAGACGCGAUUCCGCGAGGUUGAGCAAAUCCCAAAAAAGUCAUCUCAGUUCGGAUUGUAGUCUGCAACUCGACUACAUGAAGCUGGAAUCGCUAGUAAUCGCGAAUCAGAAUGUCGCGGUGAAUACGUUCCCGGGUCUUGUACACACCGCCCGUCA
This 1394-nucleotide ribosomal RNA is filed under the name uncultured bacterium. Its description in RNAcentral is "16S ribosomal RNA". It matches the Rfam family "Bacterial small subunit ribosomal RNA". The record is from RNAcentral.